ACUUAUGUUAAUAUAGCUCGAUAAAUAAGCCGGAAUAGCUCAGUUGGUAG
RNAcentral lists this transfer RNA (50 nucleotides) under Splachnum luteum. Its description in RNAcentral is "partial tRNA-Leu". RNAcentral also lists the same sequence under 1 other name. The record is from RNAcentral. Lineage: Eukaryota; Viridiplantae; Streptophyta; Bryopsida; Splachnales; Splachnaceae.